AACGAACGCUGGCGGCAUGCCUAACACAUGCAAGUCGAACGAGACCUUCGGGUCUAGUGGCGCACGGGUGCGUAACGCGUGGGAACCUGCCCUUAGGUUCGGAAUAACUCCCCGAAAGGGGUGCUAAUACCGGAUAAUGUCUUCGGACCAAAGAUUUAUCGCCUUUGGAUGGGCCCGCGUUGGAUUAGCUAGUUGGUAGGGUAAAAGCCUACCAAGGCGACGAUCCAUAGCUGGUCUGAGAGGAUGAUCAGCCACACUGGGACUGAGACACGGCCCAGACUCGUACGGGAGGCAGCAGUGGGGAAUAUUGGACAAUGGGCGAAAGCCUGAUCCAGCAAUGCCGCGUGAGUGAUGAAGGCCUUAGGGUUGUAAAGCUCUUUUACCCGGGAUGAUAAUGACAGUACCGGGAGAAUAAGCUCCGGCUAACUCCGUG
Molecule: ribosomal RNA, 433 nt
Filed under: uncultured bacterium
Lineage: Bacteria
Description: partial 16S ribosomal RNA
Rfam family: Bacterial small subunit ribosomal RNA
Source: RNAcentral